RNAcentral lists this ribosomal RNA (991 nucleotides) under Phacus caudatus. Its description in RNAcentral is "eukaryotic LSU rRNA". It matches the Rfam family "Eukaryotic large subunit ribosomal RNA", at positions 2154 to 2965 of the family's 3401-position model. Lineage: Eukaryota; Euglenozoa; Euglenophyceae; Euglenales; Phacaceae. The record is from RNAcentral.
CAGCUUUGUGACGGGACCAGCUGGCUGGUGCCAUGAGGUGACUUCUGCCCAGUGCUCUGAUUGUCAAUGCGAAGAGAUUCAGCCAAGCGCGGGUCAACGGCGGGAGUAACUAUGACUCUCUUAAGGUAGCCAAAUGCCUCGUCAACCAAUUAUUGACGCGCAUGAAUGGAUCAACGAGAUUCCUGCUGUCCCUAGGUGCUGUCUGGUGAACCAACAGCCAAGGGAACGGGCUUGGAUGUGUCAGCGGGGAAAGAAGACCCUGUUGAGUUUGACUCUAGUUUGAUGCUGUGCAACAACAUGGAGGGUGUAGCACAGGUGGGAGGCAAGUGCCAUCAAAGAGAGAGAAGCCUGUCCCACCAGGAAUCAGGUAUCCUGAGACCUGUGUGUGGACUGUGCUGUGAAUCCCUGAGCAAUUGGUGCAAGCCAGCAGUGAAAUACCACUACCUUCACCGUUGUUUUACUCAUCGAGUGGCUUGGGAACAGUGGCCAUCAGACAAUCAGUCACUGCACUCUGUGGUGGCUGGGGCCUUGACCUGAUUCGUGAUUCAAGCACUGCACUCUGUGUGGUGUGCCUCCAGUGGGCUUCACUGGUCUUUGGAUUGGUGCCUCGGGACAAUGAUCAGUUGGGGAGUUUGGCUGGGGCGGCACGCCUGUUACAGCACAACGCAGGCGUCCUGAAGCAUUGCUCAGAUGGAACAGAACUCUGCCAUGGAGGAGCAGGCCAAAGGUGCUGCUGAUGCUGUGGCUUCCAGUACAAGCCCAAAACGUGCAAGUGUGGCCUAUCGAUCCUUUGGAUCCCAUUCGGGUUCUGGAUAUUGAAGCCAGAGGUGUCAGAAAAAUUACCACAGGGAUAACUGGCUUGUGGCUGCCAAGCGUUCACAGCGACGUUGCUUUUUGAUCCUUCGAUGUCGGCUCUUCCUAGCUUCCCGCCCGCAGCCGAGCGGAAGAGUUGGAUUGUUCACCCACCAACAGGGAACGUGAGCUGGGUUUA